Molecule: transfer RNA, 77 nt
Filed under: Spirochaetales bacterium
Lineage: Bacteria; Pseudomonadati; Spirochaetota; Spirochaetia; Spirochaetales
Description: tRNA-Arg
Rfam family: tRNA
About the family: Transfer RNA (tRNA) molecules are approximately 80 nucleotides in length.
Source: RNAcentral
GUGCCCAUAGCUCAGCUGGAUAGAGUAUCAGAUUGCGGAUCUGAUGGUCGGAGGUUCGAAUCCUCUUGGGCACGCGA